GACGAACGCUGGCGGCGUGCUUAACACAUGCAAGUCGAACGGAAAGGCCCUGCUUUUGUGGGGUGCUCGAGUGGCGAACGGGUGAGUAACACGUGAGUAACCUGCCCUUGACUUUGGGAUAACUUCAGGAAACUGGGGCUAAUACCGGAUAGGAGCUCCUGCUGCAUGGUGGGGGUUGGAAAGUUUCGGCGGUUGGGGAUGGACUCGCGGCUUAUCAGCUUGUUGGUGGGGUAGUGGCUUACCAAGGCUUUGACGGGUAGCCGGCCUGAGAGGGUGACCGGCCACAUUGGGACUGAGAUACGGCCCAGACUCCUACGGGAGGCAGCAGUGGGGAAUAUUGCACAAUGGGCGGAAGCCUGAUGCAGCAACGCCGCGUGCGGGAUGACGGCCUUCGGGUUGUAAACCGCUUUCGCCUGUGACGAAGCGUGAGUGACGGUAAUGGGUAAAGAAGCACCGGCUAACUACGUGCCAGCAGCCGCGGUGAUACGUAGGGUGCGAGCGUUGUCCGGAUUUAUUGGGCGUAAAGGGCUCGUAGGUGGUUGAUCGCGUCGGAAGUGUAAUCUUGGGGCUUAACCCUGAGCGUGCUUUCGAUACGGGUUGACUUGAGGAAGGUAGGGGAGAAUGGAAUUCCUGGUGGAGCGGUGGAAUGCGCAGAUAUCAGGAGGAACACCAGUGGCGAAGGCGGUUCUCUGGGCCUUUCCUGACGCUGAGGAGCGAAAGCGUGGGGAGCGAACAGGCUUAGAUACCCUGGUAGUCCACGCUGUAAACGGUGGGUACUAGGUGUGGGGUCCAUUCCACGGGUUCCGUGCCGUAGCUAACGCUUUAAGUACCCCGCCUGGGGAGUACGGCCGCAAGGCUAAAACUCAAAGGAAUUGACGGGGCCCCGCACAAGCGGCGGAGCAUGCGGAUUAAUUCGAUGCAACGCGUAGAACCUUACCUGGGUUUGACAUGGAUCGGGAGCGCUCAGAGAUGGGUGUGCCUCUUUUGGGGUCGGUUCACAGGUGGUGCAUGGCUGUCGUCAGCUCGUGUCGUGAGAUGUUGGGUUAAGUCCCGCAACGAGCGCAACCCUUGUUCACUGUUGCCAGCACGUUAUGGUGGGGACUCAGUGGAGACCGCCGGGGUCAACUCGGAGGAAGGUGGGGAUGACGUCAAGUCAUCAUGCCCCUUAUGUCCAGGGCUUCACGCAUGCUACAAUGGCUGGUACAGAGAGUGGCGAGCCUGUGAGGGUGAGCGAAUCUCGGAAAGCCGGUCUCAGUUCGGAUUGGGGUCUGCAACUCGACCUCAUGAAGUCGGAGUCGCUAGUAAUCGCAGAUCAGCAACGCUGCGGUGAAUACGUUCCCGGGGCUUGUACACACCGCCCGUCAAGUCAUGAAAGUUGGUAACACCCGAAGCCGGUGGCCUAACCGUUGUGGGGGAGCCGUCGAAGGUGGGACUGGUGAUUAGG
This 1444-nucleotide ribosomal RNA is filed under the name uncultured bacterium. Its description in RNAcentral is "16S ribosomal RNA". It matches the Rfam family "Bacterial small subunit ribosomal RNA". The record is from RNAcentral.